Molecule: transfer RNA, 77 nt
Filed under: Bacteroidota bacterium
Lineage: Bacteria; Pseudomonadati; Bacteroidota
Description: Bacteroidetes bacterium (sediment metagenome) tRNA-Pro
Rfam family: tRNA
About the family: Transfer RNA (tRNA) molecules are approximately 80 nucleotides in length. Their secondary structure includes four short double-helical elements and three loops (D, anti-codon, and T loops).
Source: RNAcentral
CGGGAAGUGGCGCAGUUGGCUAGCGUACUUGUAUGGGGUGCAAGUGGUCGUGAGUUCGAGUCUCACCUUUCCGACAA